UACGUAGGGGGCAAGCGUUGUCCGGAUUUAUUGGGCGUAAAGAGCGUGUAGGCGGCCACACAGGUCAGCUGUGAAAACUCGAGGCUCAACCUCGAGACGUCGGUUGAAACCGUAUGGCUAGAGUCCGGAAGAGGAGAGUGGAAUUCCCGGUGUAGCGGUGAAAUGCGCAGAUAUCGGGAGGAACACCGAUUGCGAAGGCAGCUCGCUGGAACGUUACUGACGCUGAGACGCGAAAGCGUGGGGAGCAAACAGG
Molecule: ribosomal RNA, 253 nt
Filed under: uncultured bacterium
Lineage: Bacteria
Description: partial 16S ribosomal RNA
Rfam family: Bacterial small subunit ribosomal RNA
Source: RNAcentral